This 566-nucleotide long non-coding RNA is filed under the name Eucalyptus grandis. RNAcentral describes it as "long non-coding RNA (EGRA_LNC006147)". Lineage: Eukaryota; Viridiplantae; Streptophyta; Magnoliopsida; Myrtales; Myrtaceae. The record is from RNAcentral.
UUCACAACAAUCACAUGAUAUCAUCAUCAACAGAGAGUAAUGUAUGCCUAAUUCAUUCAAAACAUAUUCUCAACUACACCAUGAUUAUUUCCGACAAUUAAUAUUGCCCACCUCAGGAUCAAUGCCACCACUCCCAAGCCACCACACAUACACAACCAGAGCGAAGAUGUCUGAAGAAUCCAUCUGCUCCUUCACUGCAACUUGCUACAAAGUGAUAAGUGUCGUAUGAAGGUAAAUCACAAUUCAAGAUGACAGAUCAAUGAAAACUAAUGAUAAUGUCUUAAUCACGGCAAUACUAGCUUGUGAUAGUCAUAGAAAAGUCUUACUUCAUCCUCGUCGUCAUCAUGAGUGCUAAAAGAAGGCCUAGAUGCCUCUCCAAGCUCAUCGUUCUUCGCUAAUCUAUCUCUCACCCAAGGACGACUAUUUGCUAGAGUUUUGUGACAAGCAUACCGCAUAUAAAAACUACGAUUGAUGAGUUAUUUGCCAAGGCAAAGACGCUGAUUAUACUGAUAUGUGAGAGAGAGAGAGAGAGGACCUUGAUUUAUUGCUAAAUUUCCUUUCAUUCC